GAUGAACGCUGGCGGCGUGCCUAAUACAUGCAAGUCGAGCGAACAGACGAGGAGCUUGCUCCUCUGACGUUAGCGGCGGACGGGUGAGUCACACGUGGAUAACCUACCUAUAAGACUGGGAUAACUUCGGGAAACCGGAGCUAAUACCGGAUAAUAUAUUGAACCGCAUGGUUCAAUAGUGAAAGACGGUUCUGCUGUCACUUAUAGAUGGAUCCGCGCCGCAUUAGCUAGUUGGUAAGGUAACGGCUUACCAAGGCAACGCUGCGUAGCCGACCUGAGAGGGGUGUCGGGCACACUGGAACUGAGACCCGGGCCCGGCUCCUACGGGAGGGAGCAGUGGGGAAUAUUUGCCAAAGGGCGAAAGCCUGAACGAGCCAUGCCGCGGGUGUGAAGAAGGGUUUCGGAUUGUAAAACCCUUUUUAUUGGGAAGAAGCAAAGUAAGUUAAUACCUUGCUGUUUUGACGUUACCCAAAGAAUAAGCCCCGGCUAACUUCGUG
Molecule: ribosomal RNA, 497 nt
Filed under: uncultured bacterium
Lineage: Bacteria
Description: partial 16S ribosomal RNA
Rfam family: Bacterial small subunit ribosomal RNA
Source: RNAcentral